Molecule: ribosomal RNA, 163 nt
Filed under: Pachylaena atriplicifolia
Lineage: Eukaryota; Viridiplantae; Streptophyta; Magnoliopsida; Asterales; Asteraceae
Description: 5.8S ribosomal RNA
Rfam family: 5.8S ribosomal RNA
About the family: 5.8S ribosomal RNA (5.8S rRNA) is a component of the large subunit of the eukaryotic ribosome.
Source: RNAcentral
AAACGACUCUCGGCAACGGAUAUCUCGGCUCACGCAUCGAUGAAGAACGUAGCAAAAUGCGAUACUUGGUGUGAAUUGCAGAAUCCCGUGAACCAUCGAGUUUUUGAACGCAAGUUGCGCCCGAAGCCAUUCGGCCAAGGGCACGUCUGCCUGGGCGUCACGC